ACAGAAUAACAUUGCAUAUCUUACUCGGAUUGAACUCACAAUUAAAAGUAACUUCCAGCCAGCAGUCUUUCCCCAAGCGAGAUGGAGCUUACAAUCAUUUUCCUUGGUCCUAUGCUGACCCAUCCAUCUUGAACAAAAGGAAAAUCCAAAUGUAGAAGAAUGGUUUCACACAACAAAUAGACACAAGUUUCUUUUUCUUUUUCUUCUGAAAAGUUCAGGUUACACAAAUACAGCCUCCGGAAAAACCUCUGGUUAUACACAAGCGGAUACAAGUGGACACAAGCAUCCGUACCCUCUAAAACACUACAAUAGAGUGAGAAACAAAUAGUACAUGACACACUUAUCACAUGAUGGUGCAGCGGCUCUUUUCUUCGGCUGGCUGAGGGGCAACUUGCUGAAACCUGUGAGACUCAGAUGGGUUGUAUGUGAACUCUGAAGUAUCCAGCCCAUACUUUUCCCUCAUUCGUGUACUCCAAGCAUCAUUUCGACUUGGUCGUUGAUCAAGUGUCCCAGCCACAGGCACACCUGUUGCAGGAGCAGCAGGCCUAUUGAUCAAUGGUUGUCUGAUUUGUUGCCUUGGAGCAAUGUACUCAUCAUCGCUGUCAUAGUCUGCAGGUCUGUUUGCUGCACGAACCACAAGAGCCAACAAGAAAAGGAGGGCCUCAAAAAUUACAGCUCCCAAUGCAACCCAUCUGAUGAUUUCCCACUUGUCUUCAAGGAGUUCAUAGAUCUUAUCAAAGUUUCCUGUUUUGUCCCCAGGAAUUUCAUCUCUCCAAGUUUUGUCAAAGAAUAUGAAGGCAGCACAUCCUAGUUGCACCAAAAUCAGUAGAAGCAGCAAAACUGAAUAACAACUUAAACAGCAUCCAUUACGUGUUGCAGCUCCAAUACACCCAAAACAAGAGACAACAAAGAUAAUGACUCCCACAGCAAUGAACAAGUAUAUGAACCAGGCUUUUGGAAGGUUAUCAAAGAUAUUAGAAGACAGAGACACGGCCAUUAGCAUUGGUCGACCAAGCUGGACCAGAUCAUGAUCACCACUCGACGAAGGUCCUGGGACAUCACUAGGAGAUUGCAAAUACUCAACCAACAAGUAAAUCCCAUAGCCCACCAUGGCAAGACCCAGCAGGGAUAAGAAGAAGUUCAGAAGCUUCAAUAGGCACUCAAAGCACCCUCUGCAGGCCAUCCUCUAUAUACUUCCGAUCCAAAUUCAGGGAGGAUGAUUAUCGGAUUGCUCGAUUUCCCGAACCUUG
This 1250-nucleotide unclassified non-coding RNA is filed under the name Hevea brasiliensis (rubber tree). The record is from RNAcentral. Lineage: Eukaryota; Viridiplantae; Streptophyta; Magnoliopsida; Malpighiales; Euphorbiaceae.